Long non-coding RNA from Photinus pyralis (common eastern firefly), 854 nucleotides. RefSeq lists it as uncharacterized. The record is from RefSeq and is a predicted model, not a curated record. NCBI's taxonomy places the organism in Eukaryota, Metazoa, Arthropoda, Insecta, Coleoptera, Lampyridae. The transcript has 3 exons.
UCCUGCGCAGUGUAUCGGCGUGGAUCAUUUAGAUUUAGAUAAACAUAACCAUAAGCGAUAAACGUAUUCGAGAUUGCGACCGGAAUGUAAUUCAUGAUGUGUAUAAAUUCAAAUACAAAAUGCUACAAAGAGGACGUUAUGGAUGCAAAUUAGAAAUAAACAUCAUAGCACUACUCGAAAAAUUUGUAUGUUAGUUUUAAAACUUCCUGGAGGAAAUGUGUUCUGGAUGACCAACAACGUUAACUGUUUGGAUAUGGAUGUUCUUUUUGUAUAGUGCAGUGAGGUAUACCAACGUACGGGUCCCUCGUAAUUGUAAACUUUCGUUGUACAUUAGUUUUCGUAUUGGGUAUUCUAAUUACAGUUCCACCUAAGUCCACCGAUUUUUAUGUUCCACAAUUCGUGCUUACGACAAGCACCACUAAUGCCAACUAUAAGAGCAACCUGUAAAUGUAAAAUAGAUAUGAUGUAACGAGUAACGAUUUGAACGUGUAAUGUUAUAGUAGAUAUGAACUGUCGGGGUUGCUUUUUGAAUAAACAUUUUUACUUUGCUCGUUGAUAGAAUUUUUGACUUUUUAGGGAAAUAGCCGCUGGAUUGCGUUUUUAACAAGGCCUGCAACUUAGCAUAGCUGCUUAUAUCUACAUUAUUGUUCAAAAGUAUCGUAGAGCACAGCAUGGAAUACGUUUUCCACAAUGUGGAUGCUUUAAUUUACUGUGAUAGUUUGCUAAAGUAAGCACUACGUUCUCUGAAAAUGAGUUGGUUUUUUUCUUGUCCUCCACUCCAAAAAUUUGCUGUAUGUAUGUUCGUACACUUUUAGUUUGUCGGGAAGUAAAUUUUUUUGCGUGUUCUGCUUCCA